UGCCUGGCGGCCUUAGCGCGGUGGUCCCACCUGACCCCAUGCCGAACUCAGAAGUGAAACGCCGUAGCGCCGAUGGUAGUGUGGGGUCUCCCCAUGCGAGAGUAGGGAACUGCCAGGGAU
Molecule: ribosomal RNA, 120 nt
Filed under: Escherichia coli AA86
Lineage: Bacteria; Pseudomonadati; Pseudomonadota; Gammaproteobacteria; Enterobacterales; Enterobacteriaceae
Source: RNAcentral